This 406-nucleotide long non-coding RNA is filed under the name Homo sapiens (human). RNAcentral's name for it is "HSALNT0321658". The record is from RNAcentral. Lineage: Eukaryota; Metazoa; Chordata; Mammalia; Primates; Hominidae.
UAACAGCUGGCCUCCCACACUGGCCUUUGCAGCCACGCCCACAUAUGAGGCUCAUUAUGAAGUAAUGAGAACAUGCAUAUAGGACACAAAGAAAUAUCCACCUCAUCACUCUUUGGUCACACAUGUAUCUCAAUGGCUUCAGCUCUGAAUACAAAGCACAUAAGCAAACAAAUAUAACAGCAUCAGUUAAAUUCUGGUGGAAAACACUGUUCUAGACACAAGGGAUACGAUGUGAACAAGACAAAUAACAUCAUCUUAGAGUGGACAAACAGAAAAUAAACCAGAUGGAAGUGAGUUCUAUAAAGAAAACACAACAUGGCAAUCUGAUGGAGAGAUAUAAGAAGUGAAUGAUGCAGCUACUUUAAAUAGAGUGGAUGGGCCUGAGAAGCUGCAUUUCUAACAAGCU